CCUACGGGAGGCAGCAGUGGGGAAUAUUGGGCAAUGGGCGCAAGCCUGACCCAGCAACGCCGCGUGAAGGAAGAAGGCUUUCGGGUUGUAAACUUCUUUUAUCAGGGACGAGUCGAGUGAGGGUACCUGCUGAAUAAGCCACGGCUAACUACGUGCCAGCAGCCCCGGUAAUACGUAGGUGGCAAGCGUGAUCCGGAUUUACUGGGUGUAAAGGGGGUGUAGGCGGGAAAGCAAGUCAGAUGUGAAAUCCAUGGGCUCAACCGGUGGCCUGCAUUUGAAACUGUUUUUCUUGAGUACUGGAGAGGCAGACGGAAUUCCUAGUGUAUCGGUGAAAUGCGUAGAUAUUAGGAGGAACACCAGUGGCGAAGGCGGUCUGCUGGACAGCAACUGACGCUGAGGCGCGAAAGCGUGGGGAGCAAACAGGAUUAGAUACCCUAGUAGUC
This 443-nucleotide ribosomal RNA is filed under the name uncultured bacterium. RNAcentral's name for it is "partial 16S ribosomal RNA". It matches the Rfam family "Bacterial small subunit ribosomal RNA", at positions 338 to 795 of the family's 1533-position model. The record is from RNAcentral.